UACGUAGGGUGCGAGCGUUGUCCGGAAUUAUUGGGCGUAAAGAGCUCGUAGGCGGCCUGUUGCGUCUGCUGUGAAAGCCCGGGACUCAACCCCGGGUCUGCAGUGGAUACGGGCAGGCUAGAGUCCGGCAGGGGAGACUGGAAUUCCUGGUGUAGCGGUGAAAUGCGCAGAUAUCAGGAGGAACACCGGUGGCGAAGGCGGGUCUCUGGGCCGGUACUGACGCUGAGGAGCGAAAGCGUGGGGAGCGAACAGG
Molecule: ribosomal RNA, 253 nt
Filed under: uncultured bacterium
Lineage: Bacteria
Description: partial 16S ribosomal RNA
Rfam family: Bacterial small subunit ribosomal RNA
Source: RNAcentral